RNAcentral lists this ribosomal RNA (494 nucleotides) under uncultured bacterium. Its description in RNAcentral is "bacterial SSU rRNA". It matches the Rfam family "Bacterial small subunit ribosomal RNA", at positions 340 to 820 of the family's 1533-position model. The record is from RNAcentral.
UACGGAAGGCAGCAGUGGGGAAUAUUGCACAAUGGGCGCAAGCCUGAUGCAGCCAUGCCGCGUGUAUGAAGAAGGCCUUCGGGUUGUAAAGUACUUUCAGCGGGGAGGAAGGCGAUGCGGUUAAUAACCGCGUCGAUUGACGUUACCCGCAGAAGAAGCACCGGCUAACUCCGUGCCAGCAGCCGCGGUAAUACGGAGGGUGCAAGCGUUAAUCGGAAUUACUGGGCGUAAAAGCGCACGCAGGCGGUCUGUUAAGUCAGAUGUGAAAUCCCCGGGCUUAACCUGGGAACUGCAUUUUGAAACUGGCAGGCUUGAGUCUUGUAGAGGGGGUAGAAUUCCAGGUGUAGCGGUGAAAUGCGUAGAGAUCUGGAGGAAUACCGGUGGCGAAGGCGGCCCCGUGGACAAAGACUGACGCUCAGGUGCGAAAGCGUGGGGAGCGAAACGAGGAUUAGAUACCCUCUGAGAACUAACCAAGGCAACAACAAGGGGAUAGG